Molecule: long non-coding RNA, 1160 nt
Filed under: Marmota monax (woodchuck)
Lineage: Eukaryota; Metazoa; Chordata; Mammalia; Rodentia; Sciuridae
Source: RNAcentral
GGGCUCGCGCGGCGCUCCGGGGUUAAAGGGACCGGCACGGAGCUCGUGCUGCCUUGGGAGCUGGGGGCGCGGCCAGGGACCCGCACCGAGUUCUCGGGGCCUCGGGAAGCUUGCGGGCGGACCUGGUCUGUCUGGGCAACCGGUAGAAUGAGAACGGCCUGUUCGGGGGCUCCUACAGGCGGUGCCUGCCCGCCGAGGUGAGGCGGCCGGGCUGGGUGGGGGUGAGGUCCCAGGGGACUUUGGGGCCCAUAGACGGGCCGCUGCGAGGCGGGGUCCCAGAGAGGUCCCAGGCCAACGCAGGGCUGAGGGAGCCCGGGCCGGAUAAAUCUUGGAGGGGCCUGGCGUUGAACAGAAGGACGGGUUAGGGAUCCAAAGGGCAAAGUUCCUCAGUUUUCCAGGGCAUCUCCCACCUCUUUCCUGCUAGUGACUUACUAGGUAUUUUCAACUUUAGUGUGUAAUUAUGCAAACUAAAAAGUCUACAUGGAUUCUCCUUAUCCAGUCCUGAGCUCAGUCCCUUCCUCAGAGGUAACCCUUGGCAGCCGCAGGACCUGGUUUCCCCACGGCUUUUCCCAUGUGUCUAAGUACGUCUUUUCUAACCUGGACAACUUUCCAAAGCUUCUUGGAGUCCUUUCAGCUUCUGCAAUGGGAUUUCCUGAGACAAUGGAGUAAAGAGUGGGCCACUUGACAGCUAGCUGUUCUUAUUUUGUUCCUGCCGGAAAGAAAAAAGAUCCAAGCUGCUGAGAACAGGAGUUUCAGAAAAAUGAGAUAUUAUAUCCCAUGUGAUUCAAAUGUAUGAUAUGUCAAGGUCAUUGUACUGUCAUGUGUAACUAAUUAAAACAAACAAACAAACAAAAUAGAAUGAAGAAAACUGUAAUUUCCAAUGAAAUACUCUCUCCUAGCAGGUUUUUGCAAUCUCAGCACUAAUAUCAUCCUUCUCCUCAGUCCUGACAAUCAAAGCUGCCUCCAGUCUUGGCCAGAAGUUCCCUGGGGAGCAAAAUCACUUUCAGUUGAUUACUGCUUUAAUCCUAUACUUCCCAGAAGUAACUGCUUUUGAAGCUCCGACCACACACAUAGAUGGUCUUGUUCCAUUCCAAUGGACCACUGGCUCCUCUAUGCUGGCUGUCCUAAUUGUCACCUGCCUUCGGGUCUGAGCUCAGUCA